Molecule: long non-coding RNA, 4505 nt
Organism: Apis mellifera (honey bee)
Lineage: Eukaryota; Metazoa; Arthropoda; Insecta; Hymenoptera; Apidae
Exons: 2
Source: RefSeq, a predicted model, not a curated record
CUUUAAAUGGUACUAUUGCGGAGGAGAGUGCACAGCGCGCCAUCUCUCGAUACUUUUUUUCUCUUAUUUUUCUUCUAACAAUCCUUUCCUCUUUUUUAACAAUCAAGACGCACGAUAGUUUCGAUACAGAGUAGUUUUUUACGAAAAGUGUUUCAACGACGGAGUGUUUUGAGCAUUUAGAUGUUUAUCGAGGUGUGCGAAAAUUGAUCGUAUCGCGGGGAUACGUCGAAGCUUAACGCCGUUUGAGGUUAUAACAGAUACACGGACUGUGACGUUGAGUGUGUUGAUCGAAUUUAACACGGGUAUUAAUUCAUACGUGAAAUUUAAUACAUAGCUCUAGUUCUUUUUAUCGGUAUAUAUGAUGAUAAAAUUUGAAAUUAAUGUAACGUGAAAAAAGAAAGUGUACAUCGAGAGAUUAAACUUGUUCGUUGAAACUCGUCGAAUUUCGAUCGAAAGGAUCGGAGGGAAAGAGGAGACGGUCAAUCCAUCGAUCAUUCGUUUGACUUUCCACGCGUGCUCCCGGCCGGAAAUAGAAAAUAGUCUCGUGCCUGUUUGCCGAUCGUGUUUGCGCAAGCUGACCCUUCUCCUCUCCGAGAGUUUCUGAAGAGGUCCUUCUGAAGGAUCGAGCACCUCAGCAGAUGUUUAUUUUGACGCGACCGAGUCACGAUUCCUCGAGUGCUACAAUCUUUGCUACGAUAUUCCUCUUGUCCAACAACAGAGGGCCACGUAAUUAACCAUUCUUUCGCUCGAAAAGCAACUCUCAUUCGUUUCUUUAUCCAUGCUCGAUUUCGUAAUAAUUAACAAAGAUAUCGAUUUGUUCAUUCCUUUAAUCGAAAAGUGUACAAGUGUUCGUUUCUUUGUCGAGACAAUCGUAAAAUAAAAAAGAGUUUUCCAUUUUUUUCCGAGAAAGAAAUUUCAAUCCCGCUUUUCCAUCAAUUUCGUCCAAUUUUAUCCGUUUCCGAGUGGAACGAAAGGGAGCAUCCGGGCUGUGCGAAAAGAAAGAAGGAAUCGGCGAAGGAUGGGGCACAAAGAGGGGGAAAAAAGGAGAGAAAAAAGAAGAUAGCGGAUCGGAAGGAGCUUCCUCGAGGAGAGGCUCGAUUACACGGUUACUUUGUCUUCUGUGAAUGGGGAAGGACGCUGGUCAUGGUGAUCGUGCAGCAGCGAGGAGGACGAGAAAAAUGGCAUAAGCGCGAAACCGCACAAAAGAGGACUCGCCACGGUUUUACCUCGUCUCGCAACGGUUACUUUCUCUCGUCCCUCUCGUCUCGAAUUGAAUUCUUUUAUUUAUCUCCCUCGUAUUUACGAGUAUAGAAGGUAAACAGUUUGCCCGUAAAGAAAGACGUGUUUCAGCCAUGAUCAAUCGGAAUAUUCGAGUUCCCUCUCUCUCUCUCAUUCCUUUCGCUUAAUUUAAUUACCGCUCUCUUCUUUGUUCGAUUAUUUUUCGCAGUCUCCCCCCUCCUUCACAUUUUUUGUGAUUCCAUUCGACGUGAAUGCAAAAAACUCGUGACUAAAGACUUUCUACCAAAGAUUCCUGCCAAGAAUCUUUAAGUAAUUGGAAAGAAAAAUCAGAACGAUAUUAAUAACAAAUCUUGGAGGAAUUCAAUCGAAUGUAGAAAGAAGGAGGCAGUUGAAGGAAAGGAGAUUCCACGCCAGUGCGCACGGUCGAGAAGGAGGAGGGGGAUCCUUUCUCGAGGGAGGGAGAGAGAGAGAGAGGUCGGGCGAGUUUUUUUUUUUCUUCUCCACCGGUAUCGAUUCAAGACGGCGUAUAAUUCGAUAUCGAUACCGUAAUCCUAUAUGUAAGAGGCACACGCAAGGUCUCGUCACGUUGAUCGGCGACCACGCGCGUCGGUUGACAAUGGUUGUCGGCGAUACGCGGUGGCCGGCCGAUAACGGUCCGCCUUGUACGGAUGCUGACCGGAUUGCUGGAUCGGUGGAGCGAAUUCGCGGUGUCACGGAACAUUAUUUCAACGCGCCUGCCUUUGCCAAUGCCGUCGCAAUCCCGCCAUGGGAUUGAAACACGGUUUGCUUCGUAAAGAUAUUUCUCGUAAAAUUAUUUAUCUAUUUUUACACCGUUCUCUUAUUUCUCGUCGCGAAGAUUUCUUUCUUAUCGAUCGAGGAAUCUCGUCAAUCGGUCGGAAAUUCACGGAGAGGAAAAUUGUGAGGAAAGGAAAGGAGAGCAGCACGUGCUCUCGGGAUCCCGUGCGUUUCCUUACGCCAGCUGCAAAUAUCGUGCGACGGGAAUCCGACGAAAUCCACGCGCGCUGUGCACGCAUGCAGAGUGCGCGGGUCCCAUCUGGCGUGUGCGUGACCUCCUUGAAUUAUCGCGGCCCGACACUUUAGAAACUCCAAACUUUGCCCAUUUCCUAUUUCGCUCGCAUACUCUUUCGAGAACCCGGCGUUUAUUUAUAACACACCGGCAUUGUCAUUCAAAUUACUUGGCAACUGGCGUGUGCUAAGUUGAUUAAACGAAAACCAGGGGAAUAAGAAUAACCGAAUCUUCGUCGGUUAUGGUUAUCAGAAAUAAAACGAAACGAAACGAAACGAGAUAUCGCUCGGGAGGAAGAAGGAUGGACGACGGUGGGCGCCGCGACGACGAUUAUCGAUCGAACCGUGCCGAGAGCACCGCCUCUCCCCUCCCUUUUUUCCUUUGUCCCCCCGCUUUCCACUCGCGAAAACGCUUCCCUCCCCCGGAAUUUCACGCGUCCGCGUUUCGUCCCCGCGCGGACGACGAGGGGAGCGACGACCCUAUCCCUCCACUCGGCCAAUCGCGGCGCGUGCACGCCCAGUGACGUCACGCGCACCCCUCCGCACGGUAAUUAGCCAAUCCCAUCGCCGUUUGCCCACCGACCAACCCCUGCCCCGAUUAUAUUUACGAGCCAAUGAUUUCCUCCCUUUCUCUUUUCCUUUCUUCCUUCCUUCCUUCCUCUCUUUUUUUAUUUUAACCGUGUAAGUUGCAAAAAAAAAAAGAAGAAAAAACAGGAACACCCUGUUUCUGCACACCCUUCCAAUAAUCCUCUUUACCAUCCGAGUUUUCGUGAAAAACCCGGAUGGGUCCGAAUAGAUCCUUGACGACGAUUAAAAUUUCCUAACUGUUAAUAAUAUCUCUCGCUUGCGUGAGGGAUAUUGUUGCUGGAAUCCCUGGCUAAAAAAAAAAUAAAAGAAAGACGGGAGGGGAGAAAGGGCACAAAGGCUGAGAAGGUCCGCUCGAGGAGGAGGAAGAAGAAGAGGAAGAUCUUCGGUAGAUAGCGAUUACACGAGGAUGGACACAGAAAAGGAGGCGAGGAAACGAUGACGAGGGGACGGUUUCGAUGACAAUAAUAAAAAGACGCGUAUCAUCGAUUCGUAGGUGUGCUCUCGAGUAUCGCUUUCUGCUAAGUUGAGGGAUAAUCCGCUUAGGCCUUUCGAGAGGGGGAGGGGGGAGAAGAGGCCGGCUAGGUCUUUCGUCUUUGCAUUGUUGCCGGCGUUUUGUGAGAAAACAGCAUUUUCGACGCUCGAGGUGGCGACAAGAACAGGGCUUAACUUAUCUCCGUCACAACAACGAAGACCCACCCUCCCUUUCCUACGUUUUUUCUCCUGCACCUGAUUCGUUCCUGAGAAUCUAUCCGAUCCGAAUAGUUGGUGAAUUUAAUUAGAAAAAAUUCACGAGUCAAAUUAAAUUUGAUGAUUAAAUGAAUUAUUCGAUGCGUUUUUUUAACACAAAAAGGGGGGAUAUCGAGUUGCAACGGUAUUCGAAGCGAUAACCCUCUUAAGCGUUCGAUAUUCGUGAUCGAUGAAGGGGUUGCACGGCCACCCCUCCCCUCCCCUCGAAUAAUCCCAUGAAUACAUAAUCUAGAUGCAAACAGCCGCCACGCGUGGCCCGUUUUAGAACGACCGUGAUAUUUCACGGAUUAUGAAUAUUUGCGCUUCGUUUCACGGUAUCUCGAUCUCUCUAUUCAGAAAUCUCUCUCUUUCCCUUUUUUAUUUUCGUCAUCUCGUGUCUCUUUCGCCGUUUGGAGAAAAAAAAAAAAAAGAAAGAAAAAUUGAUGGAUGAGUUCGAUCGAGUUGAUGGGGAUUUUUUUUUUUUUUGGUUUCGUAAAUUGAUAAAAAAAGACGGAUGAUUCCUAAGAUCGGGGAUGAGAAGGGAUAAAGGUAAAUUUAGAAAAUUUUGUUUCGUAAAUUUUCCGUAGAAUUAUUAUUAUUUUCUUCUUUUUUUCUUAGCUGUCCAUGAACGGUUGUUCGUUCAGUUUGUUCGUUCAACGCGUUGAACGCGGAAAGGAACGCGUGGGAACGAAGAAACUGAUAAAUAGUAUAGUAUAGUAUAGUUAAAGGCAGUAGUAGUAAGUAAGAAUGACAAGCUCGUUGAAUUACAAAAAUUGGAUCGUUUAACGCUCGAUGAGAGAGGAAAAAAAAAAAAAAAUUGUACAUCUUUUUUUUUUCCCCCACCUUACUUCGAUAAAAAAUGUAGUAACUUUUAGCUACGAUUUGCUCUACGAAAGAUGCGAUAAGUAAGAGGGUUUAAAAAAAAA